CCCAAUAUCUAGGAGACCAGGGGCCGGGAUGGCCGGGCUCUCUGACAGAAGUUGUCUGUUCUCUUUUCAGCCUUCCUGCUGCUGCUUCUACAGUGUCUCCUUUCUCAGGCUGCUCUCCCCCAACCUGGAGCCCUGAAGCUGCACACCUGGCUCCCACAUCAGAUAACCCAACCACAGUAGUUCCCCUCACCCGACCUGCUCCCACCCUCUCCUCACCCCUCACCCUCUUCCUCCCCUGCUCUUCUACCCUCUAGCUUCUGUUGAGCCUAGAUAGCCCUAGAGAGGGUCAAGGAGAUUCAAAGCCCUCUGGUGGAAAAGGUGGUGUGAGAGUCAACCCCGAUCAGUGUGUGCACGUGGUACAGGCGGAUGGAAACGUACACUGUGUCACUUGGAAACAGUGAUGGGGAAGGGACCCCAGCCCAGGCCUUAAGGACCUAGAGCAACCUAGGACCCAGCAGGGAGUCUGGGAGAGUACUGGGCCAAUCCCCCUUGCUGUGGGCUUUCUGCAAUCAAGAGAGUGAAGCUCGCAUCCUUGGUGCUAGGAUAGGAGGACUGAGCUGAAGAGGCAGACAUUCUGAAUGAAGGAACCCAUAAUCUCUUGUAGCCAAAUGCAGGCUUUGAAAGGGUCUCUCCAUGUAGCCAAAGCCGGCCUUGAACUUGGAACUGUUCUGACUACGGCUCCUGAGGGCUGACGUCACAGAUGUGCACCAACCAUGUCCAGCUCUGAGUGUGUCCUCUUUUUUUUUU
Rattus norvegicus (Norway rat) is the source of this 747-nucleotide long non-coding RNA. RefSeq lists it as uncharacterized. Lineage: Eukaryota; Metazoa; Chordata; Mammalia; Rodentia; Muridae. The record is from RefSeq and is a predicted model, not a curated record.